Molecule: ribosomal RNA, 253 nt
Filed under: uncultured bacterium
Lineage: Bacteria
Description: partial 16S ribosomal RNA
Rfam family: Bacterial small subunit ribosomal RNA
Source: RNAcentral
UACGAAGGGGGCUAGCGUUGCUCGGAAUCACUGGGCGUAAAGCGCACGUAGGCGGACUCUUAAGUCAGGGGUGAAAUCCUGGGGCUCAACUCCAGAACUGCCUUUGAUACUGGGAGCCUUGAGUUCGGGAGAGGUGAGUGGAACUGCGAGUGUAGAGGUGAAAUUCGUAGAUAUUCGCAAGAACACCAGUGGCGAAGGCGGCUCACUGGCCCGAUACUGACGCUGAGGUGCGAAAGCGUGGGGAGCAAACAGG